This 468-nucleotide ribosomal RNA is filed under the name uncultured bacterium. RNAcentral's name for it is "partial 16S ribosomal RNA". It matches the Rfam family "Bacterial small subunit ribosomal RNA", at positions 28 to 507 of the family's 1533-position model. The record is from RNAcentral.
GACGAACGCUGGCGGCGUGCUUAACACAUGCAAGUCGAACGGAAAGGCCCUGCUUUUGUGGGGUGCUCGAGUGGCGAACGGGUGCGUAACACGUGAGUAACCUGCCCUUGACUUUGGGAUAACUUCAGGAAACUGGGGCUAAUACCGGAUAGGAGCUCCUGCUGCAUGGUGGGGGUUGGAACGUUUCGGCGGUUGGGGAUGGACUCGCGGCUUAUCAGCUUGUUGGUGGGGUAGUGGCUUACCAAGGCUUUGACGGGUAGCCGGCCUGAGAGGGUGACCGGCCACAUUGGGACUGAGAUACGGCCCAGACUCCUACGGGAGGCAGCAGUGGGGAAUAUUGCACAAUGGGCGGAAGCCUGAUGCAGAAACGCCGCGUGCGGGAUGACGGCCUUCGGGUUGUAAACCGCUUUCGCCUGUGACGAAGCGUGAGUGACGGUAAUGAGUAAAGAAGCACCGGCUAACUACGUG